GUUCUUGUGAUGACUGUUUUUCAGUUCAACUGCUGAGUGAUUUCAGAAAUGAACUAAAUCUUAACACUGAUCUAA
Sceloporus undulatus (fence lizard) is the source of this 75-nucleotide small nucleolar RNA. RefSeq annotates it as small nucleolar RNA SNORD5. The record is from RefSeq and is a predicted model, not a curated record. Lineage: Eukaryota; Metazoa; Chordata; Lepidosauria; Squamata; Phrynosomatidae. The transcript has a single exon.